CCGGCAGAAUAAUCUUUCUGUGGAUCAGACGCCAUGUUCUUUUUAACCUCAAUCUUUAAUUGUUGGAUGGUUUGUUUUGAUAUUGGUUGUCAGAUUUCGGAUUGCUACUAUUAUACUGUGAAAUUAAUUUGCAGUGGAAAAUUGAGGUACCAUUUACAAACAAAAUAUUGAAGAGAAUGUGCUCAAAGGAAAUGCAUAUGAAUUCUUUUUUGUUGACCAGGAUGGAACAAUUCUUUGGAACCCAUACUUAGAAUAAGUUAGUUAGGCCUAGUGAUGUACCAGCCAGAAGUAGAGGAUGACAAAGAAAAUCAACUAUGAAUAAUAUUCCAUGGAUAUGAUCCAUGUAUGAUGUAGCAGCCUACAGAAGAAAGAGAUGGACUAAUCUAAGAAAUAUAUUCAUUUUUUCAGUACAUCUUGAUGUGUUUAUUUCAUGUUAUUCAUAAUAAUAUCUUCUUUUUCUGAUCGCUCCUGCUAACU
This is a long non-coding RNA of Nilaparvata lugens (brown planthopper), 477 nucleotides long. RefSeq lists it as uncharacterized. NCBI's taxonomy places the organism in Eukaryota, Metazoa, Arthropoda, Insecta, Hemiptera, Delphacidae. The record is from RefSeq and is a predicted model, not a curated record. The transcript is spliced from 3 exons.